GGCCCUCCUGCUGCCAAUGAUCCUGCUGCUCCUGCAUACUCAGUGUUCCUAAGUGGCCCUGCCUUUACAAAUGGGCCUACCAACAGUAGCCCAUGGGCUAGCCCGACCUCUAUCCCCCGGAGCAGUGGGCUUACUGCUGUCCUGUAAGCUGGUAAGUUGGAGAGGUACCAGGCUAUCAAUGGGCUUGAUGUUACUGGUGUCUCUAAGCUUCCAAUGAAGGGAUCUCCAUUGAUUGGUUCAACCACUUGAAAAGUUGGCUUCUCAGACUGAAUGGCCUUGACAGUGAAGGAAGAAGUUCUCUUGGUGGGUGAGACUCUGAAUGGAGCUCCAGAGAUGCCUCUGGGAAUAAACAGGGACCUUGUUGUUACAGAAGAGGCAAAGCUGCUCUUGAGAGAAGCAGUAGCAGUAGCCAUUUUCAUUGCUUUUUGGUAAAGAA
This 436-nucleotide unclassified non-coding RNA is filed under the name Hevea brasiliensis (rubber tree). Lineage: Eukaryota; Viridiplantae; Streptophyta; Magnoliopsida; Malpighiales; Euphorbiaceae. The record is from RNAcentral.